UACGUAGGUCCCGAGCGUUGUCCGGAUUUAUUGGGCGUAAAGCGAGCGCAGGUGGUUUAUUAAGUCUGGUGUAAAAGGCAGUGGCUCAACCAUUGUAUGCAUUGGAAACUGGUAGACUUGAGUGCAGGAGAGGAGAGUGGAAUUCCAUGUGUAGCGGUGAAAUGCGUAGAUAUAUGGAGGAACACCGGUGGCGAAAGCGGCUCUCUGGCCUGUAUCUGACACUGAGGCUCGAAAGCGUGGGGAGCAAACAGG
This 252-nucleotide ribosomal RNA is filed under the name uncultured bacterium. RNAcentral's name for it is "partial 16S ribosomal RNA". It matches the Rfam family "Bacterial small subunit ribosomal RNA", at positions 524 to 776 of the family's 1533-position model. The record is from RNAcentral.